UCACUGGGCGUAAAGGGUGCGUAGGCGGUUUUUCAAGUCAGAAGUGAAAGGCUAGUGGCUCAACCAUAGUAAGUCUUUUAGAAACUGUUAAACUUGAGUGCAGGAGAGGGAAAGUGGUAAUUCCUAGUGUAGAGGUAGAAAUUCGUAGAUAUUAGGAGGAACACCAGUGGCGAAGGCGACUUCCUGGACUAGUAACUGACGCUGAGGCACGAAAGACGUGGGGAGCGAACAGGAUUAGAUACCUCGGUAG
This 250-nucleotide ribosomal RNA is filed under the name uncultured bacterium. RNAcentral's name for it is "partial 16S ribosomal RNA". It matches the Rfam family "Bacterial small subunit ribosomal RNA", at positions 551 to 793 of the family's 1533-position model. The record is from RNAcentral.